CAAACCCUGCUGGAGAAGCAGGGCACGUGCUCGGUCGAUCGGCCGGCCGGGCAGCCCGCUGCAUGCAUGGUCGAUCGCAGCACGUGCGCUCCUUCUCCAUCAUGGAUUC
This 109-nucleotide microRNA precursor is filed under the name Setaria italica (foxtail millet). RNAcentral's name for it is "pre miRNA MIR164". It matches the Rfam family "MIR164 microRNA precursor family". The record is from RNAcentral. Lineage: Eukaryota; Viridiplantae; Streptophyta; Magnoliopsida; Poales; Poaceae.